Molecule: ribosomal RNA, 460 nt
Filed under: uncultured bacterium
Lineage: Bacteria
Description: bacterial SSU rRNA
Rfam family: Bacterial small subunit ribosomal RNA
Source: RNAcentral
AGAGUUGAUCUGGCUCAGAACGAACGCUGGCGGCAUGCCUAACACAUGCAAGUCGAACGCUCUUGGGGCUUCGGUUUCAAGGGAGUGGCGCACGGGUGAGUAGCGCGUGGGAACCUGCCCUGUUGUGGGGGAUAACCGAGGGAAACUUCGGCUAAUACCGCAUACGCCGGUUGUCUUGAGAGAGAUGGCCGGGAAAGAUUGAUCGCAGCAGGAGGGGCCCGCGUCGGAUUAGGUAGUUGGUGGGGUAACGGCCUACCAAGCCUGUGAUCCGUAGCUGGUCUGAGAGGAUGAUCAGCCACACUGGGACUGAGACACGGCCCAGACUCCUACGGGAGGCAGCAGUGGGGAAUAUUGGACAAUGGGCGCAAGCCUGAUCCAGCAAUGCCGCGUGAGUGAUGAAGGCCUUCGGGUUGUAAAGCUCUUUCGCACGCGACGAUGAUGACGGUAGCGUGAGAAGAAG